UUAAUUGAAGCCAAAAAGAGGCAUAUCACUGUUAAUGAUACUACUGAGACCUAUCUCCAGUUAAG
Molecule: transfer RNA, 65 nt
Filed under: Bombylius sp.
Lineage: Eukaryota; Metazoa; Arthropoda; Insecta; Diptera; Bombyliidae
Description: tRNA-Asn
Source: RNAcentral